Molecule: ribosomal RNA, 487 nt
Filed under: Neoscytalidium dimidiatum
Lineage: Eukaryota; Fungi; Ascomycota; Dothideomycetes; Botryosphaeriales; Botryosphaeriaceae
Description: eukaryotic LSU rRNA
Rfam family: 5.8S ribosomal RNA (bases 161-314)
Source: RNAcentral
CGGCCCGAUCCUCCCACCCUUUGUGUACCCACCUCUGUUGCUUUGGCGGGCCGCGGUCCUCCGCGGCCGCCCUCCGUCCGGGGGGUGGCCAGCGCCCGCCAGAGGACCAUCGAACUCCGGUCAGUGAACGUUGCCGUCUGAAAAACAAUCAAUAAACUAAAACUUUCAACAACGGAUCUCUUGGUUCUGGCAUCGAUGAAGAACGCAGCGAAAUGCGAUAAGUAAUGUGAAUUGCAGAAUUCAGUGAAUCAUCGAAUCUUUGAACGCACAUUGCGCCCCUCGGUAUUCCGAGGGGCAUGCCUGUUCGAGCGUCAUUACAACCCUCAAGCUCUGCUUGGUGUUGGGCACCGCCCUUCCGCGGGCGCGCCUCAAAGACCUCGGCGGUGGCGUCUUGCCUCGAGCGUAGUAGAAAACACCUCGCUUUGGAGCGCACGGCGCCGCCCGCCGGACGAACCUUUUGAACUUUCUCAAGGUUGACCUCGGAUCA